AUUGAACGCUGGCGGCAUGCCUUACACAUGCAAAUCGAACGGUAACGGGCCUUCGGGUGCCGACGAGUGGCGCACGGGUGAGUAAUACAUCGGAACGUGCCCGAUCGUGGGGGAUAACGAGGCGAAAGCUUUGCUAAUACCGCAUACGAUCUACGGAUGAAAGCAGGGGACCGCAAGGCCUUGCGCGGACGGAGCGGCCGAUGGCAGAUUAGGUAGUUGGUGGGAUAAAAGCUUACCAAGCCGACGAUCUGUAGCUGGUCUGAGAGGAUGAUCAGCCACACUGGGACUGAGACACGGCCCAGACUCCUACGGGAGGCAGCAGUGGGGAAUGUUGGACAAUGGGCGCAAGCCUGAUCCAGCCAUGCCGCGUGCAGGAUGAAGGCCUUCGGGUUGUAAACUGAUUUUGUACGGAACGAAAAGCCUUCUUUUAAUACAGGAGGGUCAUGACGGUACCGUAAGAAUAAGCACCGGCUAACUACGUG
This 482-nucleotide ribosomal RNA is filed under the name uncultured bacterium. Its description in RNAcentral is "partial 16S ribosomal RNA". It matches the Rfam family "Bacterial small subunit ribosomal RNA", at positions 30 to 507 of the family's 1533-position model. The record is from RNAcentral.